CCGGCCGCGGCGUCGAGGAGACGCUGUGGGCGGCCUGGCAGGCCACCGGUCUGGAACGACGCUGGGCGGCGUCGGCGGUCCGGGGCGGCCCGGCCGGG
RNAcentral lists this transfer RNA (98 nucleotides) under Gordonia sp. YY1. Its description in RNAcentral is "tRNA-Ala". Lineage: Bacteria; Bacillati; Actinomycetota; Actinomycetes; Mycobacteriales; Gordoniaceae. The record is from RNAcentral.